UAAAGGUUUGGUCCUGGCCUUGUUAUUAAUUUUAACUAUAUUUACACAUGCAAGUAUCAGCACUCCCGUGAAAAUGCCCUCUUUCACCAUCAAGUGAAUGAGGAGCGGAUAUCAGGCUCUUACCCUGCCAAAGACAUCUUGUUUAGCCACACCCUCAAGGGAAUUCAGCAGUGAUUAACAUUGAAACAUAAGCGUUUAAAGCUUGAAUCAGUGACAGUUUACAGAGUUGGUUAAUCUCGUGCCAGCCACCGCGGUUAUACGAGAAACUCAAAUUAAUAAAAACGGCUCAAAGGGUGGUUAAAGAUAAGCUAUAAUAGAAUAAAAACCUAACUCUGCUGUCGCACGCAAUAGUUAGACAAGAGCACACCAUCGAAAGUGAUUCUACCAUUCUUGAACCCACGACAACUAGGAGACAAACUGGGAUUAGAUACCCCACUAUGCCUAGCCAUAAACUUUGAUUAUCCGCCAGAGUACUACGAGCUACAGCUUAAAACUCAAAGGACUUGGCGGUGCUUUACACCCCCCCUAGAGGAGCCUGUUCUAUAAUCGAUAAUCCCCGAUAAACCUCACCACCUAUUGCCAAUACAGCCUAUAUACCACCGUCCAGCCCGCCCUUUAAAGGGUAAACAGCAGGCAUAAUUAUAAACAUAAAAACGUCAGGUCAAGGUGUAGCAGAUAAGGUGGAAAGAAAUGGGCUACAUUUUCUAACUUAGAAAACACGGAUGAUUCUAUGAAAUAGUUUCUGAAGGAGGAUUUAGCAGUAAAAAGAAAUAAGAGUGUUCUUUUUAAAACGGCAAUAAAGCGCGCACACACCGCCCGUCACCCUCUUCAAAUAAUUUAAAAAAUCUUAAAUAAAUAAAGUCAGUAAGUAAGAAGAGGCAAGUCGUAACAUGGUAAGUCUACCGGAAGGUGGACUUGGAAUAU
RNAcentral lists this non-coding RNA (924 nucleotides) under Salamandra salamandra (fire salamander). Lineage: Eukaryota; Metazoa; Chordata; Amphibia; Caudata; Salamandridae. The record is from RNAcentral.